Mustela lutreola (European mink) is the source of this 9617-nucleotide long non-coding RNA. RefSeq lists it as uncharacterized. The record is from RefSeq and is a predicted model, not a curated record. The transcript has 5 exons. Lineage: Eukaryota; Metazoa; Chordata; Mammalia; Carnivora; Mustelidae.
GACGCAAGGCAUUUGUGGAUCGUGCAAAACUGUUUUGAUUUGAUCCAUCCAACAUGUCAGGGUCUCUGGCCAGACAGAGGAGGGAAGGAGCUACACGCACACCGAGCCCUGCCUUGCUGUCACAGCACGAAGGGGAAACCGAGGCCGCGGUCGCCGUGCUUCCUGCCCUUCUGAGCAGCAGUCACCUCCCUGGGAAAACACUUCUCGGCAAGGAACUUGCACUCCCCCCAGAUCUUUAAGGAGGUUGAACAAGUCCACGGGUGCAAGCAUUCAUGUAAAAACCACGGUCAUCAAUGACAGGACAAUUUUGACAGAGAGAGCGAGCUAUGGAGAUCUAAUGACUCAGUGUAAUACAGAAUCCUGGAGAAGAUCCUGGAACAGAGAAAAGGUGUUGAGAAGAACCUGGGGAGAUCUGCAUGAACUGUUGAGUUGAACAAUGAACCAAUCCUGGCUUCUUAGUUGUCAACUAUAGACCAUGGGGGUACAACAUGGUAACAAUAGGGGACACUCGGCAGACGGUAUGUAGAAACCCUCAUACUAAAUUUCUAAUUUCUUUGAGUAUGUGUAACUAUUCUAAAAUUUAAGAACUUAAGAAAUACAGCUAGAUGAGUCAUAGCAAAAUAUACCAAAUGCAAAAUAAAGAAACGUGAUUUGCAAGCAUCAGAAUGCAAGGGUUGAACGUAUCUGCAUUGAUCUUUCCCUUAGGCUUUGGGGUCUAGGGAACAGUCCUUGAGGUGCAAUCAGUCUUAACACGGAGUUUGCUUUAAAGUUUGCAGCUUUGAUCUUAUCCAACACUUCUUUGAAUUGCUUCUUUACACUAAUGAUUUUAACAAAAUGGAUCAAAUCAUGUUAUUUUUCAAAAUCCACGAGAGAAAGAGAGGAAUACUCAACAAGCAAUAAUGACAGGUUAUUCCAAAGAAGCACCUGGGAGUUUGGACUUAAGACAACAGGGGUUAAUUUUCACCUUCUUUAAUGUGUGACUGGUAUGUGACUUUUUCAAGGCUGUAAGUCCGUUUGUCCGUUAAGCAGAUAGCUGGGACCAGCAUUCAAAUGCUCCUUUUCCAGGCCUGGGGUAGGAGCCUACGUUACUAGAUUUCCCAGUACAACUCUCCCAUCUCUGAGGCCUUUACUGCACAGUCAGGGGGUGGUUUCGCUACGUCACUAAUAGCCAGUCCUCCUGACCUGGAGCCUUCUCCGAUCUCCGUGCUGUCAACAUCUCUCCAGUGGCCUAUUUCACACUGCUAACAUGUUGUUACAGAACAUGUGUGCACAUUUGGAUCCCUCCCACCCCGGGGUGGCUCCCACACACCACCAAGUAGUCUUUCCCUCUGCCAGUGGGCACCGGGCAGAUCUGGGCUCUUACCACCUUUCCCAGUUUUCUCCCUAUGGGUCACACCACCCGUCAGCAAGGCCGAGCUCUUGGCAGAUGUGCCGUUUAUAUGGGCCUGUCUCACAGGGGACAAUGAGGCUGCAUCAAAUUCCAGAAGGACAAAAGGGAGAAACAAUCAUUUUCUUCCCUUAUCAAAGCGCAGCAUUGAAACUGAAGAGGAAUGCCGCUCAGCUUUCGGUUCCAGUGUUGCGAAUCUUGAUGGCAGUCCAAUUCAUACGGCUCCUAAAAUGGCCAUCAAGCUACAUUGCACAUUGUAUCACUGCAGAGAAACACUCAAUAGAAACAAGCUUCUAUGGACUAGGUCCAAAAAUCCCAGUUAUUUGCAGGCAGAAAUGGUCCCCCCAUUUGAGAUAAAAUGCAACAUUCCAGCAUUAGGAGCAAAGCAGUCCAAGCAGGUUUGUCAUUAAACCUGUCCCCAACUUUGACUCCUUUUGCAUAUGCCAAUAACACCUUGUUUAUGGAUUAACUUCCUGGAAAGAAUCUGUAGACUUUGGGAUGACCUUAAAAUUUAUAUGCUGAGUGGGAAACAAUGAUAUACCAUAUGUUACCGUGGACAACAAAAAUGAAACAGAGCUCCAACAGGUAUAGUUUGGGGCAAGUUCUAGAAACUCAGUAUUGCUCUUUUUGUGCACUUCGACUUAGCUAAGCAUUUGAUUAUUUACCCUAAGAGCGGGGAGGAUUCCUUGGACCCCCCCGAUGCAUUCUCUCCCAGGCAAUCUUUUCAGAACAGAAAUGAGGAUUGGAAUUCGUUGGCUCAUACUGGACAGGAAAGUUGAAGUAAUUCCUGGAAACUAAAUGUAAUCCUUUCUUCUCCAGAAUUUGCGGUCAUUAAAAAGUUUGAGUACCAGUAAAGCAAAGUAAAAGGCACAGAUUAUUGUUGUAACUGAGCACUUACAUAACUAAAUUUCCUGUUUUUUUUUUUUUUUUUUUAAAGAGGGUUUUGUAGUCAUCCAUGAUCUUCAAAGGCCUUCCCCAUGCCAGGAAAGAGAACAAUAUUCAUCUUAUUAGUUAUUUUGUGCUUCCUCUUUUUACUUUAAUCUUUCAUUAGUUUGGGAUCAAUGUUGACAAUGGUGAUGGUUAAUUUUAUGUGCCAACUCACCUAGGCUACGGAGUGCCCACAUAUUUGGUUUAACAUUGUUCUGGGUAUUUCUAGGAGAGUGUUUUUGGAUGGGUUUUACAUUUAAAACAGUCAAGAACAUGGCCCUCUUCCAACGUGGGUGGGCCUCAUCCAAUCAGUUGAAAGCCUGAAUACAAAGAUGCCAACUCUUUCUCUAGUAAAAGGGAAUUAAGUAAUUAAGUCCUCCUGCCUGACUGCUUCUGAUCAGGAUGUUGGUUUUCUGCCACCUCCUCCCUCCAACUCAAACAUGGGCUCUUUUGGGUCUUGAGUUCUGGCCUUGAGACUAGAAGGAUACCACUGGUCAUCGUGAGUCACCAUCUUGCCAACUGGGUCUUGAGAUUUGGCUGCUUACAUGACUGUAGGAGUUAAUUCUUUAUAAUCCAUAUAUAUAUAUAUACCCCCACAUAUCUCGCUACUGUUUUUUUCUGGAGAAGCCAACUAAUCCAACAACUUAAAAAAUCUGUGUUCUACAACCCCCCCAUGAUUUAGUCCAUUGUCUCAACCUCAUGAAAACCCUUUCAAUCUGACUUUACACAUUUAUACACAAUUUGACCUAUUUACAUGUUUAGAUUCUGUUCCACUAAUCUGCAUCUAGCUGUACCUUCUUUGGGAACACAGGUUUUUUCAGGGUUGCUUGAUAAAUGUUCAGCAUUUCAUUGUUUUUUUCAUACCACUGCAAUGAAAUAACAAUGAGCCUAGGCAGAGGUCAUGGUUCUUGACCUAAAAUAGGCAAAAAGACAUGGCUUUUCGAGUUUUUCCUCCCUCCCUUCUACCUUCCCUGACUGCAAACACUUCAAUUUAACAUUUUCAACGGCGCUCGCACAGGCAGACAUGACAAAUGAAGCUGUUCGGGCUGGGCAGGGGCCGGCCGGAGCUCCCCCGUCAUGAGGCUGGUCAUGGAUCCUUACGUUCCAGGGAGGCCUGAGAGGAAAGCACCCCCUCCUUCAGCUGGUACCUGCUUCCCAAGGUAGGUUUCUGUUUUUCAUGUUUUCACAAAGGCCGGCAACAACUUAAGCGUUAAUAUCGCCAUUUACCUAAUGCAUUUUCAAUGCCCUCUUUAAUUCUUCCAAACCAGUGUCGGGGCAAGAUGAAAGGAGAUUUAUGAAGACGGCCGUGUAUUAGGUUCUCUCCUAACACGGUGCUUUAUUUGCUCACUAAUGGGCCUACAUUUACAGUCAGUCGUCAUCAACAGACAACACAUCCAAAGUAAACUUCAGUUUCUCAUCGUGGAGGAAGGGAUUCCGAUGGAAUGUUGUUCAUCAUCGAGAAUCUAUUCCUAAAUCCAAUUUAUGGGAAGAUUAUGGCAUUUAAUGCACUUGAGGCGAAGAGUCGGCUUUCAGUGAGAAAGUGCAUGAGGUAUCAGAGAAGGAAUGCCGCCGCCUGCCCUGCUGUCUGCAGGAGCUCGGGCCCACCGCACGGGCAGGAAUGAGCCAGAAUUUUUUUCCUACUGUGAUCGGAUAAAAAGGGCACACACUGUGUGGCCCCUGGGCAGAGGAUCAGGACCAGGUGUGGACACGAACUGCUUCUGUGACUAGGAGGGGACAGUCACGGAACCUCCCAGGGGCUCAGCCAUCUCGCCUAGAACAGGAGGCAUCAGGGAAAAUCUGGGGCCCACAGUCUUGUAAGAUCUUGUGAUCCCAAGGAAGGACCCUUACAGACCCAGCUACCCUGAUGUCCCCAGCAAAAGUCAGAAUGACUGCAGGGAAGUCCUGACUCCUAGAGCACGUCUGAGGGAGCAGAGCUUCGUCCAGGCUCAGCUUUGUAGAGGGGUGUGUAUGUGUGCAUGCACACGUGUGUUUGUACACACGCAGCAGACAUGGCGUGGGGAGGGUGUGCUGGGCCGAAGGGCUGGUUUAGAGGAGGUCGUUUUUUGGUAUGUGAAUAACUAGCUAUUUUCAAAAGCUACUUCAGCGGAGUUUCCGAGCCUGGGUGAGAAUGGGAAAUGGUGCGGGGUCAGACCUCGGCCCUCCCGAACUGGAUAGCUCCCCACCGGGCAGGCGCUUGUGGCUCUUCCUUUUUCUCUCCCACAGAGGAAUCUGCUAUUUCUAGAAGACACCGGCUGAGUGGCAGCUGGGCCUCUGCUGCUCCCUGGGCAGGACCCAUAUGUUAGACGCUGGGCCCCGCUGGUCAGCUCUGCAUGCUUCCUUGCCUCCUACGGGGCUUAGGGACCGUCCACACCCAGCAUUAGGGCCUUAAUCCCGUCUUCUAGAGGACUUGAGGGAUGACCUGUGGUAAAGUCCCACCCUUUGGCCUUCACUAAAUACAAGACUGACCUUGGAGUUUCCUCCUCGGUCCUCUGUGCCCUUCCAAACGUACUCUCGUUAUUUUAUUUCCUUUUUUGGCCAAUGCUUGGUCACAGAUCACAUAAAAUCAUGGUCAUGGGAAGGCCCCGGGCCCUUUUCUGGAGACUUGCAGGGACUAGAAGGGGGAGAAUGUGCACAUGCUGGUUUUUCUGUUCAUUCCUUCCAGGAAGCAGCAGUCUAGUCUGGCUAGAGUGACCUCAGGGGAAGGAUGUGUCCAUAUCCAGGGACAGAGAACAGGCUAUUGUGUCCCUCAAAGCCCUCACAUCUACUUCAGAGUGAUGAGCCAGUGCCUUCUGCCGAGGAGAGGGGAGAACCCCUUUUCUAUUUAUCCCCUGGGCUAUGGAAACUUCCCCUGGGGUCUCCCAGCCAUUCGCACCUUCCCACAUCACUAACUGAUCUCCGAAUGUAGGAAAGGACCGGACGCCCCAUUUCCUCCUCGGGCAACUGCUGUAGGUAGAGUUAGCGACCCACGUGAGGGCAGAGGCAAGGCAUCAGAAGAGCCUUGACAACAUUCUCGGGAAUCUGUUCCGAGGAACGGGAGCUGACAGCGCCUGUGCAUGGACCAUGGGGCUGGGUACAACGCCAGCCGUCUCUCACCGAGGACCUUAGUUCUCCCUCCCGAUGCCAUGAGCAGGUCCCUGCGUCCUAUCCUGAUGCCGUGAGCAAGUCCUGCGUCUUAUCCGGCACGCGAGAACAUGAUGGCAGUUUAGCAGAGCGUGACAGGUGGUGACGUGCACUUUCCAGAAGGUGAGGAACUACCGGGCAAGGAAUAGGUGGUCAGGAAAGGCACAGACACAGAUUCGCCUGGGAUGGAACAAGUCUCCCACUGCCCAGAGGCUUCAAGAAACUCCGUCCACAACUAAACCAUUCUUCAUGGGACUAAACUUUCGUGACCCUCAGUUCUAAACAUCAUUUUCUCUGUUGCUGCUGGUGGCUGUGGGUCUGUUAUUUGGGGAACAUUCCUGGAUGAAGGACAAGUCCCUAAUAAGCCAAUGUUGCAGCAAAGGUAAACACCCAACGAGCAGCUUACUUUGAGGAUUGAACCCAAAGAAAUGACCAUGUGGAACGUUGCAGCUUCCCAUUUUUAAAAGAUAAUACACACAGGCUCGUGGGAGCAAUUUUAGAGUGAAGCCGAACACUUGAUGUAAAAUUUCCGCGUCCCAGUCACACCAGAUGUCUACAAGACGGGACCCGGUGCUGCGGGCGAAGCGGGUCUGGGACGGGUGCAUUUUCAGCACCACGGGUUCGUAGCUGCAGGUGGCAUGGGAGCUCCUCGUACUGUCACGGCGUGUUAGGACAUGGGAGUGUCCCGGCCGCCGCGUCCAGUAGGGCCGAGCAUCCUCCCUCUGAAGGUCAAGUGGAGCUAGAGGACCUCACCUCAGGCCAUGGAGCUCCGAAGAGAGGUGGGUGGGCAACCGGUCCCCGAGGGCCGGGCUCCGCGGCCUCCCUCCCACGCACCCUGGCUCCCGCUUUGCUCAUCACGUCACACCAGCCCGGACCACGGAGGCAUGUGGGUCCACAGGCUCCCUUCCUAGGCUGGCCUCAGUUUCCCUCCAUGAAAACGGAGCCAAGUCAGCUGGCGUCAGUGUUCUUGUAGACUCCAGACCCCCUAGCACACGUUUUUAAGCUUCCUUUCCCAAGCCCCAAGCUGGAACCUUUAAGAAUCCCGGUUGUGGGUCCCCCGGUAGCAUGGGGGGCUCCUGCUCCCUUGAACCCCAACAUCACUGCACUUCCAGGAGGGGGCCACAAAGUGAGGAUCAAGGGACCCCAACAGGCCCAUGACAAAGCUGCUGGGGGCCGCUGGGCAUGGUUCAGUGAAAGCGAGAACGGAAACCAGAAACACAAGCAGAUCUCUUCCUGAGAAGCCCAGCAGGGGGACGGAGCAAGCCAGGGAAGCCCCCCCCCCCCCCCCCCGAGCGUGCUGCCUUGUUGAGGCCACAGUGGCUGGACUCGGGUAUGGAUUGCAAUGCUGGUCUCGCACGGUCAGCAUCAAAUCUACCCUCCAGAUGGAGCUGGGCCCCGUUCCGCCGUCCAGCAGUGGCCCAGAGCAAGGACGGGAUGGGGCGGCUGGAUGGUUCCAGCCAGCCGACGUGCCAGCUCUGGAAUUAGGGCUUCGGUUCUUAACCUCACAGACCUACAUGCAUGUGAUGGACACAUAUGCUUUUCAUAGAAAUGUAUUUGUUCCUUGUUUUAAAUGUUUUUUUUAAAGAUCUUAAUUUGAGAGGCAGAGUCUGUGUACAAGCAGAUAGAGUGGCAGACAGAGAAGGAAAUCAAAUUCCUACUAAGCAGGGAGCCCACUGUGGGACUCGAUCCCGGGACCCUGAGAUCAUGACCGGAGCUGAAGGCAGAGGCUUAACCCACUGAGCCACCCAGGCACCCACUGUUUUAAGUGUUUUACAGACUUUUUCUUCAUUCUAUAUAUUUAUGUAGAAGGACAUAUUACGAAGCAAUACACCAGCACACACUCAUCCUACACGAAUGAGGACAUCUUCCAGAUCAGCCCAUAUUUGUCAUCUCACUGAACAAACCAGAUCUCAAAAAGGUUAAUUCACUGAGGUCACUGAUAGAAGAAGUCUGCCUUGUUCCUGCUUUUUGCUGAGCCCAGACUGUGGAAUCCGGCAGAAUCCAGGACUGCUGACCCCCUGAUGGAGCUGGAGUUCUCUCCUGGGACACCCUUUCCUGUCCGCACCAUGAGGAGAUGGUCUUCCCCUCAGGUGGAUGGACAUCAAGAUUGGGUGAAGUCCCUCCUGGCAGGCAUUCCUGUCUCCCAUUCCCGGUACCCGGACACUCUUCAGUGGCCCUCGCUCACCUUUGAUGACUCAUAGCUAUGCAACAUGCAUUUUCCUCUCCAGUUACUGGGAGGUUAACAUGUAGGCUCAACAGCUUUUCCAGAUGCUUUACAGCAGCUGGUUGGGUAGACCUGGUAGACCCCAGAGCUGGGGGUGUCCAAAUCACUUCCGAGCUCCCAUCAUCCAUGGGGCUACCAGCCAUGCGAGGGUCUCCUAUGAUCUAGGAGUGAGCACUGUGUCUCCUGGCUCGGUCGCACAAAGAUUAAUAGUGUAAAGAGAUAAAGCCUUCAAAGAUUGCAUUGCUUUUUAAAAUCCCAUUUUUCAGAUUUGUAUUUCACAUAACUCAGACUUCUUAACCUGUCAUAAGUCAUCUCCACAUGUUCAACACUAGAAUCAUGAAUCUUAUUGUACAAGCGCACCCAAUUGCUCCAGGGAGAACGGGAGGAUCCUUUAAGAAAAUCUAAUUUUUCUGGGACUCACCUAAUUUCAAAUGAGACCCCCCCGCCCCCAAAAUAGAGGGCAUGUUGUUUCUCAUUUCAAGAGGACUUCCUGAGAGAUGUCAGAUCUGUGUACACACUGACCUGAGGUCCAAUAGACUCCUCUCUUCAGGAUAAAGUUAAAAAUAUGUGAGUAGAUGAUAGAAAAAGGCAGAUAGGACAGGGGACCUGAGCCCACUUGGAGGAUAUCUCGUCACUCUUCCACUGUUUAAAGGACCCAGGUGAUGACCGGUCUACAGAGACCAGUCAUUACGAAGUACAGCUUUCUCUUUUUCGUAACUUCAAGGUAAGGGACUACAGCCCCAGGAUUCUUCCCAGUGAUGGAAAAUGAACACUCAGGUCAAAGGCUAGGUCAAAGGGUGCCCACACAAUUCGAACUACGUUUAUAUAUGCUAUAGAUAUAGUAUCUCCAUCGGUCUCAGGAAGGGUUGGGCAGGGCUAUUCCUCUGGCUUCAAACUUCACACUGAAGUAGAAGUUUAAUAAGGAGGGAAGUUCUGCGGCAAAUACAAUGCAGUAUCUUUAGUUUGUUUCCUCUGGAGAUGGAAAUCUAUGUAAUGCCAUGCUUUACGACACGCAGAGUCGGGAGGCACAGUCCUGGAGCUUCUGGGAAAAGAUGGUAAAAAUGAAGCAUGAACUGAACUUGCUAGGGUCUUCCCCAUAAUGUGAGCCUUCAGGCCCAAGAAUCUGAAUUUUGCCAAGCAUCCAAAUUGCAUCCUUUUCUGAUUGACCUGCUAACAGAAUACCGUGGAUGGGUGGUUAAAUUCAUUUCCCUUGUUCUGGAGCCCUAGCAGUCCAAAAACUGCCUUGCCUCGGGCAGAUUGGGGCUGAGGGUCUUUUCUUCUCAGAAGACCCUCAUUCCAUCCUAAGAGCCCCUCCCCCACAACCUAGCCCUAAUUACCUCCCACGGCCCCUUCUCCAAGGAGCAUCCCAUUGGGGGUUGGGCUUUAACAUAAGAACUUGGUGCGGUUGGGGUGCGGGGAGUCCCCCAACAUUUGUUCCUUAAUAACUUGCAUGGAUUCUCCAGGUCUCACCAGAUUCCCAAGAGUUGCUAAAUCCUGGGAUGUAGCAGAAGAAUGUUUCCCUCACUGGAAGGGAGACGAGGUCAGCAUCUGCCCUGCUUCCCUGCCAGCUGGCAGCACGUCAGUCACGCUUGCCCUGCAGGGGAAGAGCGACGCUCACGGCACUGCUGCUUUCCGGCUCAGAGACUUGCUUCCGGAGCCAGCGGAGCCUGUGGCCUUUAGCACUUGUCAAAGGACACUACCUAGAUCCCGACCAAGGGCAGGGAAGGAAGUAGAAGGACAGUCACAACAUGAAUGGUCAACAAUCAGUCCGAUCUGUGGUCAGUUCCAGAACUAGUUCUUUCAUCUCCUUUAUCCUUGAGAUGAUUAGUGAGUCCUUUGUAUUGUGUCACAAGGGCCACUGUUCCACAGUCAGAGGCAUUUGCGGCAGCUCCCUAAAGAUCACUUGGAUUUAAGGAUUUUCCUUUAUGAAAGCAACUUAAUAAACUUGUAGUUAAAUCA